GAUGAACGCUGGCGGCGUGCCUAAUACAUGCAAGUCGAGCGAACAGACGAGGAGCUUGCUCCUCUGACGUUAGCGGCGGACGGGUGAGUAACACGUGGAUAACCUACCUAUAAGACUGGGAUAACUUCGGGAAACCGGAGCUAAUACCGGAUAAUAUAUUGAACCGCAUGGUUCAAUAGUGAAAGACGGUUUUGCUGUCACUUAUAGCUGGAUCCGCGUCGCAUUAGCUAGUUGGUAAGGUAACGGCUUACCAAGGCAACGAUGCGUAGCCGACCUGAGAGGGUGAUCGGCCACACGGGAACUGAGACGCGGUCCAGACUCCUACGGGAGGCAGCGGUAGGGAAUCUUCCGCAAUGGGCGAAAGCCUGACGGAGCAACGCCGCGUGAGUGAUGAAGGUCUUCGGAUCGUAAAACUCUGUUAUUAGGGAAGAACAAAUGUGUAAGUAACUAUGCACGUCUUGACGGUACCUAAUCAGAAAGCCACGGCUAACUACGUG
RNAcentral lists this ribosomal RNA (497 nucleotides) under uncultured bacterium. Its description in RNAcentral is "partial 16S ribosomal RNA". It matches the Rfam family "Bacterial small subunit ribosomal RNA", at positions 28 to 507 of the family's 1533-position model. The record is from RNAcentral.